GACGAACGCUGGCGGCGUGCUUAACACAUGCAAGUCGAACGGUGAAGCGCCUUCCUUUUUGGUGGGUGUGGAUGAGUGGCGAACGGGUGAGUAACACGUGAGUAACCUGCCCCCUUCUUCUGGAUAACCGCAUGAAAGUGUGGCUAAUACGGGAUAUUCUGGGUCUGUCGCAUGAUGGGUCUGGGAAAGAUAUUGUUUCGGUGGGGGAUGGGCUGGCGGCCUAUCAGCUUGUUGGUGGGGUGAUGGCCUACCAAGGCGGUGACGGGUAGCCGGCCUGAGAGGGUGGACGGCCACACUGGGACUGAGACACGGCCCAGACUCCUACGGGAGGCAGCAGUGGGGAAUAUGGCACAAUGGGCGCAAGCCUGAUGCAGCGACGCCGCGUGAGGGAUGGAGGCCUUCGGGUUGUGAACCUCUUUCGCCAGUGAAGCAGGCCUGCCUCGUUUGUGGGUGGGUUGACGGUAGCUGGAUAAGAAGCGCCGGCUAACUACGUG
RNAcentral lists this ribosomal RNA (494 nucleotides) under uncultured bacterium. Its description in RNAcentral is "partial 16S ribosomal RNA". It matches the Rfam family "Bacterial small subunit ribosomal RNA", at positions 28 to 507 of the family's 1533-position model. The record is from RNAcentral.